UGGAGAGAAGCUUAAGUGGUUAUAUAGCCCCUGUCUGUUAAACAGGUGAUAGUAGGUUCAAGUCCUAUCUCUCCAG
RNAcentral lists this transfer RNA (76 nucleotides) under Crassvirales sp. Its description in RNAcentral is "tRNA-Asn". It matches the Rfam family "tRNA". From Rfam's summary of the family: Transfer RNA (tRNA) molecules are approximately 80 nucleotides in length. Their secondary structure includes four short double-helical elements and three loops (D, anti-codon, and T loops). Lineage: Duplodnaviria; Heunggongvirae; Uroviricota; Caudoviricetes; Crassvirales. The record is from RNAcentral.